UGAGUUUGAUCCCUGGCUCAGGACGAACGCUGGCGGCGUGCUUAACACAUGCAAGUCGAGCGAUGAAGCUUCCUUCGGGAAGUGGAUUAGCGGCGGACGGGUGAGUAACACGUGGGUAACCUGCCUCAAAGUGGGGGAUAGCCUUCCGAAAGGAAGAUUAAUACCGCAUAACAUAAGAGAAUCGCAUGAUUUUCUUAUCAAAGAUUUAUUGCUUUGAGAUGGACCCGCGGCGCAUUAGCUAGUUGGUAAGGUAACGGCUUACCAAGGCAACGAUGCGUAGCCGACCUGAGAGGGUGAUCGGCCACAUUGGAACUGAGACACGGUCCAGACUCCUACGGGAGGCAGCAGUGGGGAAUAUUGCGCAAUGGGGGAAACCCUGACGCAGCAACGCCGCGUGGGUGAUGAAGGUCUUCGGAUUGUAAAGCCCUGUUUUCUGGGACGAUAAUGACGGUACCAGAGGAGGAAGCCACGG
This 472-nucleotide ribosomal RNA is filed under the name Clostridium sporogenes. Its description in RNAcentral is "bacterial SSU rRNA". It matches the Rfam family "Bacterial small subunit ribosomal RNA", at positions 1 to 496 of the family's 1533-position model. The record is from RNAcentral. Lineage: Bacteria; Bacillati; Bacillota; Clostridia; Eubacteriales; Clostridiaceae.